UAAAGGCAGCAGUGGGGAAUAUUGCACAAUGGGCGAAAGCCUGAUGCAGCUAUGCCGCGUGUAUGAAGAAGGCCUUAGGGUUGUAAAGUACUUUCAUCGGGGAGGAAAAACAAAACUAAUAAUUUUAUUUCUUGACGUUACCCGAAAAAGAAGCACCGGCUAACUCCGUGCCAGCAGCCGCGGUAAUACGGAGGGUGCUAGCGUUAAUCAGAAUUACUGGGCGUAAAGAGCACGUAGGUGGUUUUUUUAAGUCAGAUGUGAAAUCCCUGGGCUUAACCUAGGAACUGCAUUUUGAAACUGAAAUACUAGAGUAUCGUAGAGGGAGGUAGAAUUCUAGGUGUAGCGGUGAAAUGCGUAGAUAUCUGGAGGAAUACCUGUGGCGAAAGCGGCCUCCUAAACGAAUACUGACACUGAGGUGCGAAAGCGUGGGGAGCAAACAGGGAUUAGAUACC
This 452-nucleotide ribosomal RNA is filed under the name uncultured bacterium. RNAcentral describes it as "bacterial SSU rRNA". It matches the Rfam family "Bacterial small subunit ribosomal RNA", at positions 343 to 786 of the family's 1533-position model. The record is from RNAcentral.